UCAAACUUGGUCAUUUAGAGGAAGUAAAAGUCGUAACAAGGUUUCCGUAGGUGAACCUGCGGAAGGAUCAUUACAGAUAUAUAAUUUAAUAUCUUUCCAAACCCCCCUAUUCGUGUGAACUUUUGGUGUUAUGUGAGUACAAGUCCCCCUAUUUAAUAGGGGGGCUUUAUGAAAGCAUACAAACCAAACUUUUUCUUCAUAUACACAUCUCACAAUUGCUUGUAUGGUUACAUGGAUGUUGGAAUAUAAAUAUGAUGAUGAAUAAAUAUAUAUAACUUUCAGCAACGGAUCUCUUGGCUCUUGCAUCGAUGAAGAACGCAGC
Molecule: unclassified non-coding RNA, 322 nt
Filed under: uncultured fungus
Lineage: Eukaryota; Fungi
Description: partial contains small subunit ribosomal RNA, internal transcribed spacer 1, and 5.8S ribosomal RNA
Rfam family: Eukaryotic small subunit ribosomal RNA (bases 1-73)
Source: RNAcentral